This 456-nucleotide ribosomal RNA is filed under the name Coleoptera sp. BI-2011. Its description in RNAcentral is "partial 16S ribosomal RNA". The stretch from base 1 to 141 matches the Rfam family "Archaeal large subunit ribosomal RNA", at positions 1898 to 2085 of the family's 2987-position model. The record is from RNAcentral. Lineage: Eukaryota; Metazoa; Arthropoda; Insecta; Coleoptera.
AACAAAAACAUCGCUUUAUGUAUAUUUAUAAAGUAAGACCUGCCCAAUGAAAAAAAUUUAAUGGCCGCAGUAUUUUGACUGUGCAAAGGUAGCAUAAUAAUUAGUUUUUUAAUUAAAAGCUUGUAUGAAUGGUUUAAUGAGAUAUAUACUUUAUUAAUUUAAAUAAAAUAGAAUUUAAUUUUUUAGUUAAAAAGCUUAAAUGAUUUUAAAAGACGAGAAGACCCUAUAGAUCUUUAUUUAAUUAGUUAUAAAUAAUUUUUGUUGAUAUUAAUAUUUUAAUGAAUUAAAUUUUAUUGGGGUAAUAUAAAGAUUAAAAUAAUUCUUUAUUUUUAAAAUCAUUUAUAUAUGAUUAAUUGAUCCUAUAUUAUGGAUUAUAAGAUUAAGUUACCUUAGGGAUAACAGCGUAAUUUUUUUGAAGAGUUCUUAUCAAUAAAAAAGAUUGCGACCUCGAUGUUG